GUGGCCAGCCGCCGCGGUAAUACCGGCAGCCCGAGUGAUGACCGAUCUUAUUGGGCCUAAAGCGUCCGUAGCUGGCUACGCAAGUCCGUCGGGAAAUCCACUCGCCCAACGAGUGGGCGUCCGACGGAAACUGCACAGCUUGGGACCGGAAGGCUCGAAGGGUACGUCCGGGGUAGGAGUGAAAUCCCGUAAUCCUGGACGGACCGCCGAUGGCGAAAGCACGUCGCGAGAACGGAUCCGACAGUGAGGGACGAAAGCCAGGGUCUCGAACCGGAUUAGAAACCCUUGUAGUCC
Molecule: ribosomal RNA, 294 nt
Filed under: uncultured bacterium
Lineage: Bacteria
Description: partial 16S ribosomal RNA
Rfam family: Archaeal small subunit ribosomal RNA
Source: RNAcentral